This 425-nucleotide ribosomal RNA is filed under the name uncultured bacterium. RNAcentral describes it as "partial 16S ribosomal RNA". It matches the Rfam family "Bacterial small subunit ribosomal RNA", at positions 354 to 796 of the family's 1533-position model. The record is from RNAcentral.
GUGGGGAAUCUUGCGCAAUGGGCGAAAGCCUGACGCAGCCAUGCCGCGUGAAUGAUGAAGGUCUUAGGAUUGUAAAAUUCUUUCACCGGGGACGAUAAUGACGGUACCCGGAGAAGAAGCCCCGGCUAACUUCGUGCCAGCAGCCGCUGUAAUACGAAGGGGGCUAGCGUUGCUCGGAAUUACUGGGCGUAAAGGGCGCGUAGGCGGACAGUUUAGUCAGAGGUGAAAGCCCAGGGCUCAACCUUGGAAUUGCCUUUGAUACUGGCUGUCUUGAGUACGGGAGAGGUGAGUGGAACUCCGAGUGUAGAGGUGAAAUUCGUAGAUAUUCGGAAGAACACCAGUGGCGAAGGCGACUCACUGGCCCGUUACUGACGCUGAGGCGCGAAAGCGUGGGGAGCAAACAGGAUUAGAUACCCCGGUAGUCC